AAACUUUCAACAACGGAUCUCUUGGUUCUGGCAUCGAUGAAGAACGCAGCGAAAUGCGAUAAGUAAUGUGAAUUGCAGAAUUCAGUGAAUCAUCGAAUCUUUGAACGCACAUUGCGCCCCCUGGUAUUCCGGGGGGCAUGCCUGUUCGAGCGUCAUUC
Molecule: ribosomal RNA, 158 nt
Filed under: Cladosporium sphaerospermum
Lineage: Eukaryota; Fungi; Ascomycota; Dothideomycetes; Cladosporiales; Cladosporiaceae
Description: 5.8S ribosomal RNA
Rfam family: 5.8S ribosomal RNA
About the family: 5.8S ribosomal RNA (5.8S rRNA) is a component of the large subunit of the eukaryotic ribosome. It is transcribed by RNA polymerase I as part of the 45S precursor that also contains 18S and 28S rRNA.
Source: RNAcentral